This 221-nucleotide long non-coding RNA is filed under the name Helianthus annuus (common sunflower). RNAcentral's name for it is "sRNA HanXRQr2_Chr14g0663441". The record is from RNAcentral. Lineage: Eukaryota; Viridiplantae; Streptophyta; Magnoliopsida; Asterales; Asteraceae.
UUCAAUGGACCUAUUGCAUUAUACUAUAUGCUUACAAAAAACAAGGAUUUGACGAUGCUGAAAACACUGAAGAGUUCUCUCUUGAUAAAAUUGACUCUACAACAUUACAAGAAUUUGAAGAUGAAUUGGAAAUUGCUGCGCAAAAUGAGGGGAGAUGUCUUGUAAUGGAUAAAAAGAAAAAAAUCAGAAAGAAUAAACAAAAAAAGCAAGAUGAAAAGGAU